UAAAGGUAUUCCGGUAGACGAUGGGGAUGCGUUCCAUUAGAUAGUAGGCGGGGUAACGGCCCACCUAGUCUUCGAUGGAUAGGGGUUCUGAGAGGAAGGUCCCCCACAUUGGAACUGAGACACGGUCCAAACUCCUACGGGAGGCAGCAGUGAGGAAUAUUGGUCAAUGGGCGCAGGCCUGAACCAGCCAAGUAGCGUGAAGGAUGACUGCCCUAUGGGUUGUAAACUUCUUUUAUAAAGGAAUAAAGUCGGGUAUGGAUACCCGUUUGCAUGUACUUUAUGAAUAAGGAUCGGCUAACUCCGUGCCAGCAGCCGCGGUAAUACGGAGGAUCCGAGCGUUAUCCGGAUUUAUUGGGUUUAAAGGGAGCGUAGAUGGAUGUUUAAGUCAGUUGUGAAAGUUUGCGGCUCAACCGUAAAAUUGCAGUCGAUACUGGAUAUCUUGAGUGCAGUUGAGGCAGGCGGAAUUCGUGGUGUAGCGGUGAAAUGCUUAGAUAUCACGAAGAACUCCGAUUGCGAAGGCAGCCUGCUAAGCUGCAACUGACAUUGAGGCUCGAAAGUGUGGGUAUCAAACAGGAUUAGAUACCCUGGUAGUCCACACGGUAAACGAUGAAUACUCGCUGUUUGCGAUAUACGGCAA
This 637-nucleotide ribosomal RNA is filed under the name uncultured bacterium. RNAcentral's name for it is "bacterial SSU rRNA". It matches the Rfam family "Bacterial small subunit ribosomal RNA", at positions 202 to 842 of the family's 1533-position model. The record is from RNAcentral.